RNAcentral lists this ribosomal RNA (203 nucleotides) under Mesodinium pulex. RNAcentral's name for it is "partial Eukaryotic large subunit ribosomal RNA". It matches the Rfam family "Eukaryotic large subunit ribosomal RNA", at positions 1055 to 1258 of the family's 3401-position model. The record is from RNAcentral. Lineage: Eukaryota; Ciliophora; Litostomatea; Cyclotrichida; Mesodiniidae.
UUCUCAAACUUUAAAUGGGUAAGAGGAGUGACUUGCUUAACUGAAGUCACUCUUGCGAAUGGAAGUUGCUAGUGGGCCAUAGCUGGUAAGCAGCUCUGGCGAUGCGGGAUGAACCGAACGCAGAGUUAAAGCGCCGGACUGCCCGCUCAUGAGAUCCCAUAAAAGGUGUUGGUUCAUUUAGACAGCAGGACGGUGGCCAUGGA